AUAUAAAAAUUAUCUUCUGCAGAAAUUUCUUGCGGGCAAAAGCGGAUGUCCUCAAUAGGGGGUGUGGAUGAAAAAUGAAAUGGCCGAUGCCACGAAGAAUGUUUGCAUAAAUAUGUUUCAUGUUAUUGUGUAAAAAUACUGAAAAUCCUCCGUAUUCAAGAAUAUGGCAACAAACUCCGACAACCAUGGUCAUAAUGCGACAAAAGUUGGCUAUUUUACUUUUGAAAUCGCUUGGGAAGUCGCAAAUAAAGGUACAAAGUCUAUAUUUUGUUGGCAAUUUAUAGAUGUUUAAUAUAUACAAUUGUGAAUAGUACAUUGAUUAUCACUGAAGCUUGCAACAGAUGUAACUGCAUGUAAUGUGCCCAAAUUGCUAAGUCUGUCGAAAAUGUGU
Molecule: non-coding RNA, 391 nt
Organism: Paramuricea clavata
Lineage: Eukaryota; Metazoa; Cnidaria; Anthozoa; Malacalcyonacea; Plexauridae
Source: the annotation of a GenBank genome assembly